This 808-nucleotide ribosomal RNA is filed under the name Streptomyces sp. Its description in RNAcentral is "bacterial SSU rRNA". It matches the Rfam family "Bacterial small subunit ribosomal RNA", at positions 71 to 893 of the family's 1533-position model. Lineage: Bacteria; Bacillati; Actinomycetota; Actinomycetes; Kitasatosporales; Streptomycetaceae. The record is from RNAcentral.
UGAAGCCCUUCGGGGUGGAUUAGUGGCGAACGGGUGAGUAACACGUGGGCAAUCUGCCCUUCACUCUGGGACAAGCCCUGGAAACGGGGUCUAAUACCGGAUAACACUUCCGUCCUCCUGGACGGUGGUUAAAAGCUCCGGCGGUGAAGGAUGAGCCCGCGGCCUAUCAGCUUGUUGGUGAGGUAAUGGCUCACCAAGGCGACGACGGGUAGCCGGCCUGAGAGGGCGACCGGCCACACUGGGACUGAGACACGGCCCAGACUCCUACGGGAGGCAGCAGUGGGGAAUAUUGCACAAUGGGCGAAAGCCUGAUGCAGCGACGCCGCGUGAGGGAUGACGGCCUUCGGGUUGUAAACCUCUUUCAGCAGGGAAGAAGCGAAAGUGACGGUACCUGCAGAAGAAGCGCCGGCUAACUACGUGCCAGCAGCCGCGGUAAUACGUAGGGCGCAAGCGUUGUCCGGAAUUAUUGGGCGUAAAGAGCUCGUAGGCGGCUUGUCACGUCGGUUGUGAAAGCCCGGGGCUUAACCCCGGGUCUGCAGUCGAUACGGGCAGGCUAGAGUGUGGUAGGGGAGAUCGGAAUUCCUGGUGUAGCGGUGAAAUGCGCAGAUAUCAGGAGGAACACCGGUGGCGAAGGCGGAUCUCUGGGCCAUUACUGACGCUGAGGAGCGAAAGCGUGGGGAGCGAACAGGAUUAGAUACCCUGGUAGUCCACGCCGUAAACGGUGGGAACUAGGUGUUGGCGACAUUCCACGUCGUCGGUGCCGCAGCUAACGCAUUAAGUUCCCCGCCUGGGGAGUACGGCCGCAAGG